Long non-coding RNA from Diceros bicornis minor, 844 nucleotides. RefSeq lists it as uncharacterized. The record is from RefSeq and is a predicted model, not a curated record. The transcript is spliced from 3 exons. NCBI's taxonomy places the organism in Eukaryota, Metazoa, Chordata, Mammalia, Perissodactyla, Rhinocerotidae.
GGGUCAGGUCACCUUAUUGAACCAUUAGCAUGAAUCUGUCCAGGUACCCCUGACCAAAGACACCCAGCCUCCCCAGGCAAUGACAGACCUGAUUGGAAUCCCAGGUCUGCCCUUUCCUGUCUGUGUGGCCUUGGGCAAGUUUAGUUCCCCUCUUGUUGGCUCAGUUUCCUUCUCUGUAUCUGGGGAUGCUAAUCCCUAACUCAUCAGGUUAUGUGAGGGUUCAAUGAGAUGCCUCUUUUGCAUACACUUAUUGCUGUUUCUGGCACACAGUAGGCACUCAGUGGUAGCUCCCUCCCUCCUUCCGUAGAGCCCAGCUCCUCUCAGGACCCAGCUAAAGCAAAUCUACUUGUUUUGCAGCUGAAGACAUGACAACCAAAGACCAGGAAGUACUUCCAGAUGUCAAGGCAGACUGGAUUUGAGGCACAGGAUGAGGACUAUGGGUUGGCCUGUUUGUCUUUCUUGGAGGCUGGAGGCCAGCACCAGAAAAAUGACGAACCCCUAGCUUGGCUCCUGACCCAUUUGGCAUCUGCAGCAGGAAGGAUGGAAGUUAGACAAGCAGGACUUCCUGCAGGUGGAGAGGGCCAGUCCACCUUUUCCAGGAUACCCCUCCAGGAUCCCUGACAUCCAGAGCAGUGAGGGCAACGAAGCAUGGCGGUGGCUGGCCCAGCGGGAGGCAGGCUGAGGCCAGGCGGCUGAGGCCCCGGUUGUUCCCCUCCUCAACCCACCAUCCUCUCCCGAGCUGCCCCACUGAGGGCUGUGCUGCCUCCCGACUGGGCCACUGGUGGUUGUUACUGUUAACAAAAAUACAAAUUAAUUGGUAAUAAAAUAAUUAUUUAAAAAGGCC